GAGGGUGGAGUUCAGGGGCAGAGCACGUGCCUAGCAUGCACGAGGUCCUGGUUCAAUCCCCAGCACCUCCG
Camelus ferus (Wild Bactrian camel) is the source of this 71-nucleotide transfer RNA. It matches the Rfam family "tRNA". Rfam says of the family: Transfer RNA (tRNA) molecules are approximately 80 nucleotides in length. Their secondary structure includes four short double-helical elements and three loops (D, anti-codon, and T loops). NCBI's taxonomy places the organism in Eukaryota, Metazoa, Chordata, Mammalia, Artiodactyla, Camelidae. The record is from Rfam.